Molecule: ribosomal RNA, 415 nt
Filed under: uncultured bacterium
Lineage: Bacteria
Description: bacterial SSU rRNA
Rfam family: Bacterial small subunit ribosomal RNA
Source: RNAcentral
UCAGCAGCCGCGGUAAGACAGAGGGUGCAAACGUUGUUCGGAAUUACUGGGCGUAAAGCGCGUGUAGGCUGCUUGGAAAGUCGGAUGUGAAAGCCCUGGGCUCAACCUAGGAAGUGCAUUCGAAACUUCUGAGCUUGAGUAUCGGAGAGGAUCGCGGAAUUCUCGGUGUAGAGGUGAAAUUCGUAGAUAUCGAGAGGAACACCGGUGGCGAAGGCGGCGAUCUGGACGAUUACUGACGCUGAGACGCGAAAGCGUGGGGAGCAAACAGGAUUAGAUACCCUGGUAGUCCACGCCGUAAACGAUGGGUGCUAGGUGUCGCGGGCUUUGACCCCUGCGGUGCCGUAGCUAACGCAUUAAGCACCCCGCCUGGGGAGUACGGCCGCAAGGCUAAAACUUAAAGGAAUUGGCGGGGGAC